Molecule: ribosomal RNA, 253 nt
Filed under: uncultured Acidobacteriota bacterium
Lineage: Bacteria; Pseudomonadati; Acidobacteriota
Description: uncultured Acidobacteria bacterium partial 16S ribosomal RNA
Rfam family: Bacterial small subunit ribosomal RNA
Source: RNAcentral
UACGUAGGCAGCAAGCGUUGUUCGGAGUUACUGGGCGUAAAGAGUGCGUAGGCGGUGCUCCAAGUCUGGUGUGAAAUCUCCCGGCUUAACUGGGAGGGUGCGCCGGAUACUGGAGUGCUUGAGUGUGGGAGAGGAAAGCGGAAUUCCUGGUGUAGCGGUGAAAUGCGUAGAUAUCAGGAGGAACACCGGUGGUGUAGACGGCUUUCUGGACCACUACUGACGCUGAGGCACGAAAGCGUGGGGAGCAAACAGG